CCUACGGGGGGCAGCAGUGGGGAAUAUUGGACAAUGGGCGAAAGCCUGAUCCAGCCAUGCCGCGUGUGUGAAGAAGGCCUUCGGGUUGUAAAGCACUUUCAGUGGGGAAGAAAGCCUUGGGGCUAAUACCCUCGAGGAAGGACAUCACCCACAGAAGAAGCACCGGCUAACUCCGUGCCAGCAGCCGCGGUAAUACGGAGGGUGCGAGCGUUAAUCGGAAUUACUGGGCGUAAAGCGCGCGUAGGCGGUCUGAUAAGCCGGUUGUGAAAGCCCCGGGCUCAACCUGGGAACGGCAUCCGGAACUGUCAGGCUAGAGUGCAGGAGAGGUAGGUAGAAUUCCCGGUGUAGCGGUGAAAUGCGUAGAGAUCGGGAGGAAUACCAGUGGCGAAGGCGGCCUUCUGGACUGACACUGACGCUGAGGUGCGAAAGCGUGGGUAGCAAACAGGAUUAGAUACCCCAGUAGUC
RNAcentral lists this ribosomal RNA (465 nucleotides) under Vreelandella stevensii. Its description in RNAcentral is "partial 16S ribosomal RNA". It matches the Rfam family "Bacterial small subunit ribosomal RNA", at positions 338 to 795 of the family's 1533-position model. The record is from RNAcentral. Lineage: Bacteria; Pseudomonadati; Pseudomonadota; Gammaproteobacteria; Oceanospirillales; Halomonadaceae.